UGGGGAAUAUUGCACAAUGGGCGCAAGCCUGAUGCAGCCAUGCCGCGUGUAUGAAGAAGGCCUUCGGGUUGUAAAGUACUUUCAGAGGGGAGGAAGGGAGUAAAGUUAAUACCUUUGCUCAUUGACGUUACCCGCAGAAGAAGCACCGGCUAACUCCGUGCCAGCAGCCGCGGUAAUACGGAGGGUGCAAGCGUUAAUCGGAAUUACUGGGCGUAAAGCGCACGCAGGCGGUUUGUUAAGUCAGAUGUGAAAUCCCCGGGCUCAACCUGGGAACUGCAUCUGAUACUGGCAAGCUUGAGUCUCGUAGAGGGGGGUAGAAUUCCAGGUGUAGCGGUGAAAUGCGUAGAGAUCUGGAGGAAUACCGGUGGCGAAGGCGGCCCCCUGGACGAAGACUGACGCUCAGGUGCGAAAGCGUGGGGAGCAAACAGG
Molecule: ribosomal RNA, 429 nt
Filed under: Chloroflexota bacterium
Lineage: Bacteria; Bacillati; Chloroflexota
Description: Chloroflexi bacterium partial 16S ribosomal RNA
Rfam family: Bacterial small subunit ribosomal RNA
Source: RNAcentral